RNAcentral lists this ribosomal RNA (254 nucleotides) under uncultured bacterium. RNAcentral's name for it is "partial 16S ribosomal RNA". It matches the Rfam family "Bacterial small subunit ribosomal RNA", at positions 524 to 776 of the family's 1533-position model. The record is from RNAcentral.
GACGAACCGAGCGAACGUUAUUCGGAAUCACUUGGGCUUAAAGGGCGCGUAGGCGGACCAUCAAGUCAGGGGUGAAAUCCCACGGCUCAACCGUGGAAGUGCCUUUGAUACUGGUGGCCUUGAGCGAGGUAGGGGCGUGCGGAACUUCCAGUGGAGCGGUGAAAUGCGUUGAUAUUGGAAGGAACACCGGUGGCGAAGGCGGCACGCUGGACCUCUUCUGACGCUGAGGCGCGAAAGCUAGGGGAGCAAACGGG